UGUAAAAGCCUCCGGAGAAAGUCUUGACCCAAUUCUCCAGAGUUCAUGUCUGAAAACAGCUCAAGAAACUCAAGCAAGUCCAGUUACCUAUGUUCAAGUACAACAGUUCAUUCAUUCAGGGCAGCACCUGAAGGUAUUUGUAGUUUACAUAGUUUACAGAAGUCCCUGGAAUGCAUCAUCUGCAAACUCUUGCCAAGGCUACGUUCAAACCUCCUGAGCUACUCAACACGUGGUCACGACAAAAGUGAGUUUGAUCUGGAGCAAAACAAAAUAACUUUAGCAGCUUGUGUAAGAGUUGAAGUGGGACUGAUGCUGUGGGCAGAGGGAGGAACUGAACUACUAAUGACUGACUACCUGUGAGAGAGAGGUUAGCAUCCGAUGUGUGUUUUCUACCAAAUGAAGAGGAUCAUCCAGAGAGUUUUCUCCUCCUAUGAUCCGGCGCUGGCGAGUGUGUACGAGCCGCAGACCGCAAAUUGAGUUGACAGGAUCUGACAGAGACACAAGGGGAACCAUUGGCUGGGCUGUGAUUCACCAUAGUCACAGAUGACCCCAGCGUCCUCACUGUGGCGACAGUUGUGAGUGCCAGGCGCCUGUUUGAUGCAG
Molecule: long non-coding RNA, 603 nt
Organism: Paralichthys olivaceus (Japanese flounder)
Lineage: Eukaryota; Metazoa; Chordata; Actinopteri; Pleuronectiformes; Paralichthyidae
Source: RefSeq, a predicted model, not a curated record